AACACGUGAGUAACCUGCCCCUGACUCUGGGAUAAGCCUGGGAAACUGGGUCUAAUACUGGAUAUGCACCGUAGACCGCAUGGUUUUUGGUGGAAAGAAUUUUGGUCAGGGAUGGACUCGCGGCCUAUCAGCUUGUUGGUGAGGUAAUGGCUCACCAAGGCGACGACGGGUAGCCGGCCUGAGAGGGUGACCGGCCACACUGGGACUGAGACACGGCCCAGACUCCUACGGGAGGCAGCAGUGGGGAAUAUUGCACAAUGGGCGAAAGCCUGAUGCAGCGACGCCGCGUGAGGGAUGACGGCCUUCGGGUUGUAAACCUCUUUCAGUAGGGAAGAAGCGAAAGUGACGGUACCUGCAGAAGAAGCGCCGGCUAACUACGUGCCAGCAGCCGCGGUAAUACGUAGGGCGCAAGCGUUAUCCGGAAUUAUUGGGCGUAAAGAGCUCGUAGGCGGUUUGUCGCGUCUGCCGUGAAAGUCCGAGGCUCAACUUCGGAUCUGCGGUGGGUACGGGCAGACUAGAGUGAUGUAGGGGAGACUGGAAUUCCUGGUGUAGCGGUGAAAUGCGCAGAUAUCAGGAGGAACACCGAUGGCGAAGGCAGGUCUCUGGGCAUCUACUGACGCUGAGGAGCGAAAGCAUGGGGAGCGAACAGGAUUAGAUACCCUGGUAGUCCAUGCCGUAAACGUUGGGCACUA
RNAcentral lists this ribosomal RNA (692 nucleotides) under Arthrobacter sp. PF108. Its description in RNAcentral is "bacterial SSU rRNA". It matches the Rfam family "Bacterial small subunit ribosomal RNA", at positions 112 to 818 of the family's 1533-position model. The record is from RNAcentral. Lineage: Bacteria; Bacillati; Actinomycetota; Actinomycetes; Micrococcales; Micrococcaceae.